This 508-nucleotide small RNA is filed under the name Pongo abelii (Sumatran orangutan). Its description in RNAcentral is "retained intron". Lineage: Eukaryota; Metazoa; Chordata; Mammalia; Primates; Hominidae. The record is from RNAcentral.
UCCCUGGGACUGAGGAGGCAGAAUGGAGGGGCCCUAACUCCUCUCUGUUCUCCAGAGCGCAGAUGUUCUGUGUUUUACGGGGCACCAAGUAAGAGCAGACUCUUGGCCACCUUGUGUUCUGCUGAAGUCUGCCAGUGUGCUGAGGGGAAGUGCCCUCGCCAGCGUCGCGCCCUGGAGCGGGGUCUGCAGGACGAGGAUGGCUACAGGAUGAAGUUUGCCUGCUACUACCCCCGUGUGGAGUACGGUCAGUCUUCCCCCGAGGCCCUGGCCUGACCCUCCCUCGGGACCGGCUGUUUUGGUCUCUCCGGGUGUAGCCUGCUCCUCUUACAGGUCAUGCACAUAGCCUGUUUGCUCUGACACCACUUCCUACCUUCAGCCUCAAACUCACCUUUCCCCCUUCUCCUCACCCACUCUUAGGCUUCCAGGUUAAGGUUCUCCGAGAAGACAGCAGAGCUGCUUUCCGCCUCUUUGAGACCAAGAUCACCCAAGUCUGCACUUCAGUAUGAAG